This is a non-coding RNA of Oncorhynchus mykiss (rainbow trout), 225 nucleotides long. NCBI's taxonomy places the organism in Eukaryota, Metazoa, Chordata, Actinopteri, Salmoniformes, Salmonidae. The record is from RefSeq and is a predicted model, not a curated record.
CCCCAGACACCUAUAGGUUAGUGUUCUGUAUCAGAUCUCCUGUAUUUACCCCAGACACCUAUAGGUUAGUGUUCUGUAUCAGAUCUCCUGUAUUUACCCCAGACACCUAUAGGUUAGUGUUCUGUAUCAGAUCUCCUGUAUUUACCCCAGACACCUAUAGGUUAGUGUUCUGUAUCAGAUCUCCUGUAUUUACCCCAGACACCUAUAGGUUAGUGUUCUGUAUCA